This 364-nucleotide ribosomal RNA is filed under the name uncultured bacterium. Its description in RNAcentral is "partial 16S ribosomal RNA". It matches the Rfam family "Bacterial small subunit ribosomal RNA", at positions 338 to 717 of the family's 1533-position model. The record is from RNAcentral.
CCUACGGGUGGCAGCAGUGGGGAAUAUUGGGCAAUGGGCGCAAGCCUGACCCAGCAACGCCGCGUGAAGGAAGAAGGCUUUCGGGUUGUAAACUUCUAGUGGCAGGGAAGAGGAGAAGACGGUACCUGACGAAUAAGCCACGGCUAACUACGUGCCAGCAGCCGCGGUAAUACGUAGGUGGCAAGCGUUGUCCGGAUUUACGGGGUGGAAAGGGCGGGUAGCCGGGUUGACAAGUCAGAUGUGAAAUCCUGCGGCUUAACCGCAGAACUGCAUUUGAAACUGUUGAUCUUGAGUACUGGAGAGGCAGCUGGAAUUCCUCUUGUAGCGGUGAAAUGCGUAGAUAUUAGGAGGACCACCAGUGGCG